GGCUUGGUGUUGGGGUGCUGGAGGAGCUGGUGCUCGCACGGCUGUUACAGCCGAUGCAUCUGGCCAAACCAAGACUCCGUGACUCAUGCACAAACUGGCUACUACUUUCUUCUCACCGAGGAGCGGUCUAAAUGGGCCCACUAAAAUGGGUCAGAUGAUCACACGUCUAUUCAACAGCAUCUUCCCGCCCGUACACUGGUCUGCCCUGUGAAAUCCUUCUCUUGGUGAUACUCCUCCAACA
This 241-nucleotide long non-coding RNA is filed under the name Fukomys damarensis (Damara mole-rat). RNAcentral describes it as "lncRNA (ENSFDAG00000024094.1)". The record is from RNAcentral. Lineage: Eukaryota; Metazoa; Chordata; Mammalia; Rodentia; Bathyergidae.